RNAcentral lists this non-coding RNA (156 nucleotides) under Ruegeria sp. ANG-S4. RNAcentral's name for it is "Ruegeria cis2 sRNA". It matches the Rfam family "Ruegeria cis2 sRNA". Rfam says of the family: Cis-encoded. Targets ABC transporter. Lineage: Bacteria; Pseudomonadati; Pseudomonadota; Alphaproteobacteria; Rhodobacterales; Roseobacteraceae. The record is from Rfam by way of RNAcentral.
AUUGGUAUUUCGCGGGAAAUAGUUGCGAAACACAAACCCGCGACACUGGUCUAUGAUGUGAAAUAAAGGGUUCCACGCAAACAUGGUCAGCAUGAAGCCGCCCAGCGCGUUUGCAACAAACAUCUUGCCGGAAAACACCAUGUUCAACCGGCGAUA